AAUAAAUAUAGUUUUGCACUAUUCACGUUUAACGUUUGACCGUUCGUCUUAUUUAAAAAAAUUUUAUGAUUAAUAUUUUUAUUACUAUUAGAUGAUAAAACAUGAAUAAUACUUUAUGUGUGACUAAAUAUUUUUAAAUUUUUAAUAAAUUUUUAAAUAAGACGGAUGGUCGAACGUUGGACACAGAUAUCUACGACUGCACUUAUU
Molecule: microRNA precursor, 207 nt
Organism: Oryza rufipogon (brownbeard rice)
Lineage: Eukaryota; Viridiplantae; Streptophyta; Magnoliopsida; Poales; Poaceae
Rfam family: MIR812 microRNA precursor family
Source: Rfam